GUGAACGCUGGCGGUAGGCCUAACACAUGCAAGUCGAACGGCAGCACAGUAAGAGCUUGCUCUUACGGGUGGCGAGUGGCGGACGGGUGAGGAAUACAUCGGAAUCUACUUUUUCGUGGGGGAUAACGUAGGGAAACUUACGCUAAUACCGCAUACGACCUACGGGUGAAAGCAGGGGAUCUUCGGACCUUGCGCGAUUGAAUGAGCCGAUGUCGGAUUAGCUAGUUGGCGGGGUAAAGGCCCACCAAGGCGACGAUCCGUAGCUGGUCUGAGAGGAUGAUCAGCCACACUGGAACUGAGACACGGUCCAGACUCCUACGGGAGGCAGCAGUGGGGAAUAUUGGACAAUGGGCGCAAGCCUGAUCCAGCCAUACCGCGUGGGUGAAGAAGGCCUUCGGGUUGUAAAGCCCUUUUGGUGGGAAAGAAAAGCAGCAGGUUAACACCCCGCUGUUCUGACGGUACCCAAAGAAUAAGCACCGGCUAACUUCGUG
Molecule: ribosomal RNA, 491 nt
Filed under: uncultured bacterium
Lineage: Bacteria
Description: partial 16S ribosomal RNA
Rfam family: Bacterial small subunit ribosomal RNA
Source: RNAcentral